RNAcentral lists this small nuclear RNA (107 nucleotides) under Choloepus hoffmanni (Hoffmann's two-fingered sloth). Lineage: Eukaryota; Metazoa; Chordata; Mammalia; Pilosa; Megalonychidae. The record is from RNAcentral.
GUGCUCACUUUGGCAGCACAUAUUUUAAAAUUUGAACGAUACAGAGAAGAUUAGCAUGGCUCCUGUAUAAGGAUGACAUGCAAAUUUGUGAAGCCUUCCAUAUUUUC